Molecule: long non-coding RNA, 623 nt
Organism: Diceros bicornis minor
Lineage: Eukaryota; Metazoa; Chordata; Mammalia; Perissodactyla; Rhinocerotidae
Exons: 3
Source: RefSeq, a predicted model, not a curated record
UCCUCAUUUGGGAAGCAGCAUGAUAAAAACCCAUCACCACAAUGAAGAAGUGGAGGCUGCAGCAGCGAUGAUCAUAGGUUCCUGUGGAGAAGACAAUGCACCUGCCGCACCACAAGCUGUCAGAAGCCCCCAGAAAGGGACAUAGACUUGUCGGAGCUCAGCCCAAUCCCAUCACUAACAUAGAGCCACCACCCACCCCAGCCCAGCUGUCUGACUUGUCCCAGAGCGCUUCUUCAAGCUAAUGGUGCCUGCCCAGGGCCCCAGGACUGCUGGCUUCUUGAGAGGCAAUUUUAUUUGGAAUGAAUCCCCGGGCAAUGCAAAAAAGCAAGCAAACAAAUAAAAAGGCUGGAGCAUCUAGUGUGACUGACUUUGGAGAUGGUGCAAGAAAGUGGAAGCAGGAAGGCGGAAGUCAGACACAUGGCAGUUCUCUUUGGCCAGGUCCCUCACUCUUUCUUACCUUUGUCUUUCAGAUCCCACCCAGUGGAACUGACAGAGCACCUGCCAUGGGCUUGGCAGACACAUUGGCAGAGAGAACAGCAUGCGCAAAAGAAUGACAGCAAGGCUGGAGAAUCUAGAGGAGGCUGGAAUCAGUUCAGUAUGGCUGGAACCCAGAGACCAUCGAG